UACGUAGGGUGCGAGCGUUAAUCGGAAUUCCUGGGCGUAAAGCGUGCGCAGGCGGUUUUGUAAGCCAGAUGUGAAAUCCCCGGGCUUAACCUGGGAAUGGCAUUUGGGACUGCAAGGCUCGAGUGCGGCAGAGGAGACUGGAAUUCCUGGUGUAGCAGUGAAAUGCGUAGAUAUCAGGAGGAACACCGAUGGCGAAGGCAGGUCUCUGGGCUGACACUGACGCUCAUGCACGAAAGCGUGGGGAGCAAACAGG
RNAcentral lists this ribosomal RNA (253 nucleotides) under uncultured bacterium. RNAcentral's name for it is "partial 16S ribosomal RNA". It matches the Rfam family "Bacterial small subunit ribosomal RNA", at positions 524 to 776 of the family's 1533-position model. The record is from RNAcentral.